This is an RNA transcript of Planococcus citri (citrus mealybug), 4003 nucleotides long. It is a transcript of the gene named 6-phosphofructo-2-kinase, with no coding region annotated. The record is from RefSeq and is a predicted model, not a curated record. The transcript is spliced from 11 exons. Lineage: Eukaryota; Metazoa; Arthropoda; Insecta; Hemiptera; Pseudococcidae.
CGCUCAACUGAUCGUAAAUGAAAUCGAAUUAGUAUGUGAUUAUGAAAGUUGUGGUCGUACUUGUUUCUUAGAAUAACUUUAUUUUAUUUAAAAAAACGUGAAUAAGAGGUAGCUAAAUUACUUCGUGUGUUACUUUUUUACUGCUAAUUUUUAACCGCAUGAACGAUUCGCCGAUAACUAUUGUGAUCCUCUUUCAAUUGCUUCUCUAAUAUGGCAGUGUUUCAUUUUCGUCCUGUUUUCUAAGUUUUUGUUAGCGUUUUGGCUAUUAUGAUGUAUUAGUUUCAAAUUAUGGUUUGACGAAAAGCAUUUCGAUGCAACGUGCAUGCGAUUAUCCUAAUAAAAAUUCUUCCAAUUUGAGAGUGAAAAGCGGAUCUAUAAUGUGUCCUGAGGUGAACAGGCACGCACCUCCGUCUUCGGAUACAAUCCAAACUAAGCCUUUUCCAAUCAGAGGUGAACGAGCUAAUUAUGUCAACAUCCCUCAUGUAAUUGCUAUGGUUGGAUUACCCGCUCGUGGUAAAACAUAUAUUUCAAAAAAAUUAGCCAGAUACUUGAAUUGGAUCGGUAUCAAUACGAGAGUAUUCAAUUUGGGCGAAUACCGAAGACAUGCGACUUCCGCGUAUAAAAGUCACGAAUUUUUUCGGCCCGAUAACGAAGAAGCGAUGGCGAUCAGAAUUCAAUGCGCGCUCGAAGCUCUGACAGAUGUUUGUAGUUGGCUUGAAAAUGGUAACGGAGAAGUGGCUGUUUUCGAUGCCACAAAUUCGACAGCUGAUCGACGUGAGAUGAUUAGGAAAAUCGUCGUCGAUAAAAUGGGAUUCAAAUUGUUUUUUGUCGAGUCCGUUUGUGAUGACCCGAAUAUAAUCGAGCAAAACAUUAUGGAAGUUAAAGUGAGCGGUCCAGAUUACAGUAACAUGAAUAAAGAAGAAGCUCUGGAAGACUUUUUAUUACGAAUUAAGCAUUACCAAGAUAAAUACGAACCGUUGGACGAAUUUCGAGAAAGGAAUUCUAGUUUUAUGAAAAUUUACAACACGGGUGAAAAAGUGCUCGUGCAUAAACAUGAAGGGCACAUUCAAGCUCGUAUCGUUUACUACCUAAUGAACAUACAUAUCACGCCUAGAACUAUUUAUUUGGCCAGGCACGGAGAAAGUAUUAUGAAUUUAAAAGGACGUAUAGGAGGUGAUUCAGAAUUAUCGUAUCGCGGAUUACAAUUCGCCAAAGCACUGUCUAAUUAUAUCAGUACGCAAAAUAUACCCAGUCUUCGUGUAUGGACGUCGUGGUUAAAAAGGACUGUUCAAACUGUCGCAGAUAUUCCAGCACCGCAAGAAAGAUGGAAAGCUUUGAACGAAAUCGAUGCUGGUAUUUGCGAAGAAAUGACGUACGAAGAAAUCGCCGAAAGAUUUCCAGAUGAUUUUAAAGCUCGCGACGAAGCCAAAUUUACCUAUAGGUAUCCUCGUGGCGAAUCUUACGAAGAUCUAGUUGCUAGAUUAGAACCUGUGAUAAUGGAAUUAGAAAGACAGGAGAAUGUCUUGGUGGUCAGUCAUCAAGCCGUGUUAAGAUGUUUGCUGGCCUAUUUCCUCGAUAAAUCAGCAGAUCAAUUACCAUAUUUAGAAGUCCCUUUGCACACGUUAAUUAAACUGACUCCGGUGGCUUAUGGAUGUAAAAUGGAGCUUAUACGAUUUCCUAUUGACGCUGUUGACACUCAUAGACCUCAACCAAAGGAUUUGGAAAAUACUGUAGGGGAAGUUACAGAACAGAGGUUUGAAUAAGGUACCUGGUUUUUUGGACGAAAGGUUUCGUUUUUCAAUGAGAAGAAAUGCUAAUCAUCUCAUAUCUUCUGGUAUAUCUAGUAGCGACUCCAUUGCGUCGAACCCUGUUCCAUCAUAAAAUGUCAGAAAAGAUGUCAGCGUCUGAAUCGCUUGCCAAGUUGUGAAGGAAAUGAUGUCAGUGAUUUCUCCAAGAUUAUUUGCGGUAGCUUUCUAUGAACGUACUUAUUGAAUAUUGAAUUUGUUAUUUGUGUAUGAUUUUCUUUGUUUUGUUAUAUUGAACGUAUAAUGAAAUUAUUUAUGUUUUAUUUUUAUCCAUCCUUGAUUUUUAUUUCUGUGAUAAGUUGAAUUUUUCCAAAAGAAAAAAAAACAAGAAGAAUACCAACGAAUUUUGGGACUCUUUAUUUUAAAUGGCUCAAUUAUGUUUUGUUUUGUUCUUUCUUUUUCUAAACUGUCCUUCCAUUUGUUCUGAUAUUCGCAAUUUUAAUUUAACUUGUGCAUUUUCUAAGACUCCGAUUUUUUUGAAGUAGUUUGGUAUCUGUAGAUUUUUUUUCGUGCGAGUAAAUCGUGUUUUAUAUUUCGACUCUAGUUGCUUUGAAUUUUUUAAUAAAAUGUUUUAAAAUUGGUCGCGAUUAAUGAUGACUGUAGUUCUGUGUAUUAUUAAUCAAAAGUUCGUAGUAACGAAACAUUUUAAUACGAAUAUGAGUAGUUUUAUCGAUAAUUAAUUUGUUUUUUUUUUUAUUCGACUGAUCAAAAUAAUGUUGACGUGUACCUCUACCUACCUAAGCGUUCGAAUAUUUUAAUUUAAAAUGAUAUACGAACGCCAAUUUGAUUUAUUUUAUAUUAUUUUGUGCUGAACAGGUUGUGUUGAAUUUAUAUUAUAUUUAGCUUGUUUACUUAUAAUUGAUACGCGAUCGUAUAAAAAGAAAUUGAAAUGACCAAUCUAAUCGUUAAAAUUUUUGUUAUUAUUCUAUCGUUAAUUAUUUAUUACGUUUAAUUGCGUACAUGGAUUAUUGAUUAUGUUAUGGUUAAUAUAUAUUACCUUAAUUGUUACUUUUAAGUAACUUAAAACUACCUGUACCAACUACCUAUCUACCUUAAAUGAUUCUUUGAGCUUCUAUCCUACUACCUAGUACUUACCUACGUAAGUUCAUACGUGUAUCUGUUAAACUGACAUCUAAAGGUAGGGACAUGAGACGAGCGCUGAGCGCGAGCACAAGCGUUUCUGAGUUUUGCAAGAUACAACAACGUACGUCUACGUAUCUUGUUUAACGCUCACGCUUGCGCUCAAAUAUCAAAUUUGUUUGAUAUUUCUAAGCGCUGACGCUCAGCGCUCAGAAAUAUAUUUUUGUUUUUUUUGUCAAAUGUCAAAUGUAAUUUAAAAAUUUGAUAACGCUUGCGCUCGUCUUAUGCCCGUACCUUGUGAGUGACUUCUGCGGUAUCUCGAGUAAUUUCCAUUACAACUCUUUGCAUCAAUCGGAUUAAUUGAUAUUUACAAUGCGAAAUUAUUUUGAAACCCUACUUAUAAUCAGGGAAACACAAGACUGCUUACCUACCACAUCUGAACCAAGUCCAUUCAUCAAAUAUCAGUGCAUUUAUCUGUAAAAAUCAUACCAAUAGUUUUCAGGGAUGAAUUGAUAAUUGAAUCUUACUUGUCGAAUUGAAAAUUGUGCUGCUUUUUCUCAACUAAUCAAAAUUUAAGUAAAUCUUUUUAUAAUGAAAAAAUUAUUGUGAUUACGAAUUAGCGAAGUGCAAUACGAAUUUUUAAACCAAAAAUAUCUUCAUUUAGUAUUUCGGGACACAAGUCACGGAAUUUUGCUUCCGUUGAUAAUAGUUUAAAAAAGGUACCGAUUCCGGCGGCGGAUUUUAGAUUAAUCAAAGGAGGAAUUCUGAAUCAUUUUCUAAAAAUUAUCAAAAUUGUGAGAAAAUAAUUGCAUAUGUAAUGUACUACCUGUGCAACGUUGUGAAAUUUAUAGCUUCAGAAGGUAAAUACUACGAAAGAGAGGAAUGUAUAAGUAAAACUCGCCGACAAUUGUUGCAUAUAUUGCAACAUUUUUAAAAAGGGCAUUAGCUUUUCCCUAAGAUAGCUUCCUUGAAAUCCGCCUCUGUUAAAGCCAAACUCCAAGUGUAUUAUUUGCUAGUGUAAAUCUUGUUUCUGUAUCUCGUUUUAUUUUAUUCUGUUCUAUUUCGUUUAAACUAACAGCUUGUUUAUUUUUUAUUUUCAAUAUACAAUUUCCAUAAUA